GUAAGUUUGAAAUACAAACGUAACGUAAGACAUUUUAUCGAGCAGUCCUCAUAGCCAGGCUCUAUCGCUGAUAUCUCCUCUCUUUGAGUCCAACGUACAAUACUAUGCGUUUAUUAUAAUUCUUAGAUUAAAAUACUCAAAAGGAGCUAGUAUGUCUUCAAGAAUAAAAGGUUUGGUUAAGUGGUACAACGAAGAUAAAGGAUUCGGCUUUAUCUCUCCGAUUGAUGGAAGUAAAGAUGUGUUCGUCCAUUUCUCUGCCUUUCAUGGUGAUAAUUUAAAAACAUUGUUUGAAGGGCAAAAGGUUGAGUUUGCGAUUCAACGCGGAGAUAAGGGCCCGGCUGCAGCCGGUGUAAUUCUUUGCGAUAAAUAAACAUAUACAGGCCUGCGAUAACGAUGAUGGUUCAUUCCUGAGUGGUCAGGCCUGCCUU
Kluyvera ascorbata ATCC 33433 is the source of this 428-nucleotide non-coding RNA. The record is from Rfam. Lineage: Bacteria; Pseudomonadati; Pseudomonadota; Gammaproteobacteria; Enterobacterales; Enterobacteriaceae.